GAUGAAGAACGUAGUGAAAUGCGAUAAGUAAUGUGAAUUGCAGAAUUCAGUGAAUCAUCGAAUCUUUGAACGCACAUUGCGCCCGUCAGUAUUCUGGCGGGCAUGCCUGUUCGAGCGUCAUUACGCCCCUCAAGUCCCCUGUGGACUUGGUGUUGGGGAUCGGCGAGGCUGGUUUUCCAGCACAGCCGUCCCUUAAAUUAAUUGGCGGUCUCGCCGUGGCCCUCCUCUGCGCAGUAGUAAAACACUCGCAACAGGAGCCCGGCGCGGUCCACUGCCGUAAAACCCCCCAACUUUUUAUAGUUGACCUCGAAUCAGGUAGGACUACCCGCUGAACUUAAGCAUAUCAAUAAGCGGAGA
Molecule: unclassified non-coding RNA, 357 nt
Filed under: soil metagenome
Description: partial contains 5.8S ribosomal RNA, internal transcribed spacer 2, and large subunit ribosomal RNA
Rfam family: 5.8S ribosomal RNA (bases 1-120)
Source: RNAcentral